CCUUUCUGUAAAUGCUGGACAGGACAAAAGAUUCACCAAGGACUCCAGGCAGGUGGCCUGGAAAAGAGGGUGGCGCUGGCAUGGGAGGGACGAAAACCCUUUGGGGACUGGCUGGGGCAAGUCUGGAGCCAGGGAAGGGACAGAUGCCUGGGCAGGUGGGGGCGGGGGUCGGGGGGCAGGCGGGAGAGUGGGGAGAAUCCCUGCUAGGGUGCGUCUGCAUCUGGAAAAGCAGCUCUGCCCCAGCAAGGCCUGGGGCAGCGGGAUCCUGGGGGCCUGGGGCAGGAUGGGUGGGGCUGGUGCUGAGGGCAUCUUCCUGUCUCCCAGUACCUGGGGCCAGGCAGGAGAAGGGAGCAUGGCUCUUUGGGGUGGCUGCAGCAGCCUGGCCCCUCCAGCGGCUGCACGGGAAAGAAGGAAAGCUCCGUAAGGCUGACCGGGAAAGAAGCGAGGAGCUCUGGGGGCUGGGUGGAAAGUCCCGUACUCAUCAGGGCCAGGGAGGCCACAGAAACUACCUCACGCCAGCUUCCCAGGGGUACAGCGGCUAGAAUGGACCUCGAGGAGGCCCCUCCCAAGACUCCCGUCUCCCGGGUUCCACCGCAGUGGGGGCAGCCACAGCUGCCUCUGCAAUGCUUGUAGGACCCACACACAGUGGGGCACGGAGGGGCAGAGGCCGCAGCCCCUUUGCCAUGAAUCCAAAGAACCUGGAGUGAUUCUGCAGAGACGUUCGAACCAGAGCGACUCCAUCUUGAACAGGGGCUGGGUAAAAUGAGGCCGAGACCGGCUGGGCCGCAUUCCCUGGAGGUCAGGCAUUCUUAGUCACAGGAUGAGAUCAGCACAAGAUACAGAUCACAAAGACCCCGCUGAUAAAACAGGAUGCCGUGAAGAAGCCGGCCCCAAACCACCAAAACCAAGACAGCCAGUCCUCACUGCUCAUUAUGUGCUGAUUAUAAUACAUUAGCAUGAGACACGCCCACCAGCACCAGGACCAUUUACAGUUGCCAUGGCAAUGCCGGGAAGUUACCCUAGAUGGUCUAAAAGGGGGAAGAACCCUCACUUCCGGGAAUUGCCUGCCCCUUUCCCGGAAAAGUCCGGAAUAAUCCACACCAUGUUUAGUACAUAUCAAGAAACAACAAUAAGUGUUCUCGUCGGAGUAGCCCAGGCCGCUGCUCAGCCUAUGGGGCAGCCCUUCUCUUAUUCCUUUACUUUCCUAUUAAACUUGCUUUCAGUUUACUCCGUGGACUCCCCCGAAUUCUUCCUUGUGUGGGGUCCAAGAACCCUCUCUCGGGGUCUGGAUCGGGACCUCCUUUUCCGAUGACAGUCCCUGGGACUUAGUAGCAGUUCAGCAGUGUUUGUUGAAUGAAUAAGCGAGAGACCUGGUUGGGGGGCACUUAGAAAGCAGAGGUUUUGCAACUUUUUAAAACUUUUUAUUUGUAUUUUUGAGACGGAGUCUCACUCUGUCACUCAGGCUGGAGUGCAGUGGUGUGAUCUCAGCUCACUUGGAACCACCAUCUGCCAGUUUCAAGUGAUUCUCCUGCCUCAGCCUCCCAAGUAGCUGGGAUUAUAGGCACCCACCGCCAUGACCGGCUAAUUUUUGUAUUUUUAGUAAAGACAGGGUUUCACCAUGUUGGCCAGGCUGGUCUCCUGACCUCAAGUGAUCCGCCUUCCACAGGUUCCCAAAAUGCUGGGAUUACAGGCGCCCACCACCAUGCCUG
RNAcentral lists this long non-coding RNA (1709 nucleotides) under Homo sapiens (human). Its description in RNAcentral is "non-protein coding lnc-TMEM88B-2:10". The record is from RNAcentral. Lineage: Eukaryota; Metazoa; Chordata; Mammalia; Primates; Hominidae.